GACGAACGCUGGCGGCGUGCUUAACACAUGCAAGUCGAGCGGAAAGGCCCUGCUUUUGUGGGGUGCUCGAGUGGCGAACGGGUGAGUAACACGUGAGUAACCUGCCCUUGACUUUGGGAUAACUUCAGGAAACUGGGGCUAAUACCGGAUAGGAGCUCCUGCUGCAUGGUGGGGGAUGGAAAGUUUCGGCGGUUGGGGAUGGACUCGCGGCUUAUGAGCUUGUUGGUGGGGUAGUGGCUUACCAAGCCUUUGACGGGUAGCCGGCCUGAGAGCGUGACCGGCCACAUUGGGACUGAGAGACGGACCAGACUCCUACGGGAGGCAGCAGUGGGGAAUAUUGCACAAUGGGCGGAAGCCUGAUGCAGCAACGUCGCGUGCGGGAUGACGGCCUUCGGGUUGUAAACCGCUUUCGCCUGUGACGAAGCGUGAGUGACGGUAAUUGGUAAAGAAGCACCGGCUAACUACGUG
Molecule: ribosomal RNA, 468 nt
Filed under: uncultured bacterium
Lineage: Bacteria
Description: partial 16S ribosomal RNA
Rfam family: Bacterial small subunit ribosomal RNA
Source: RNAcentral